Molecule: ribosomal RNA, 275 nt
Filed under: uncultured prokaryote
Description: partial 16S ribosomal RNA
Rfam family: Bacterial small subunit ribosomal RNA
Source: RNAcentral
UACGUAGGGGCUAGCGUUAUCCGGAAUUACUGGGCGUAAAGGGUGCGUAGGUGGUUUCUUAAGUCAGAGGUGAAAGGCUACGGCUCAACCGUAGUGAGCCUUUGAAACUGGGAAACUUGAGUGCAGGAGAGGAGAGUGGAAUUCCUAGUGUAGCGGUGAAAUGCGUAGAUAUUAGGAGGAACACCAGUUGCGAAGGCGGCUCUCUGGACUGUAACUGACACUGAGGCACGAAAGCGUGGGGAGCAAACAGGAUUAGAUACCCUGGUAGUCCCUGA